UGAGGAAUUUUGCGCAAUGGGGGAAACCCUGACGCAGCGACGCCGCGUGGAGGAUGAAGGCCUUCGGGUCGUAAACUCCUGUCAGAGGUGAAGAAUGCCCGCAAGGGUUUGACGGUAACCUCAGAGGAAGCCCCGGCUAACUACGUGCCAGCAGCCGCGGUAAUACGUAGGGGGCAAACGUUACUCGGAAUUACUGGGCGUAAAGGGUGCGUAGGCGGCUGGGAAAGUCAAGGAUGAAAUCCCGUGGCUCAACUGCGGAACGGUCCUUGAAACUACUCGGCUUGAGGAUAACCGAAGAGAACGGAAUUCCCGGUGGAGCGGUGAAAUGCGUAGAUAUCGGGAGGAACACCUGAGGCGAAAGCGGUUCUCUAGACUACUCCUGACGCUGAGGCACGAAAGCUAGGGGAGCA
RNAcentral lists this ribosomal RNA (410 nucleotides) under uncultured bacterium. Its description in RNAcentral is "bacterial SSU rRNA". It matches the Rfam family "Bacterial small subunit ribosomal RNA", at positions 355 to 770 of the family's 1533-position model. The record is from RNAcentral.